CUUAACACAAAGAGGGCAGACCAUAAUACGACAUCAACUUCCUCAGCCAGUAGGAGCCGAGCAGGCAGGCUGCUGCCGCUGAGUCCGUGUUCCCCUUCAACACAGGCUGACCUGAUUUCUUCCCCUGCCAUUCUCACUGAUUAGGUAACAGCCGUUACAUAAUGUCAGCUUCACUAGGGUGUGUGUAGUAGGUAGUUUGGCCUGUCCCUGCAGCAAUUCACAUAUACAGGCCCUUUAACAAAUGUAUCUAGACAAACACAUUGUACUGAUAUAAGUGAUGCAUGUCAUCUCAAGUAAAUUGACAGUGCACCCCUUGCAUUUUUCAUGUUGUGAUUUUCUGACGAAUAGGUAUCAUUAACUAUUGGAUUAAAUGCUGGCAUAAAGGUGGACUGAGACAAAAAUAGUACCACAUAUUCUUUUCCACAGAAAAUAGGACAGAUACCAUAAAAUGUUUGUCUUCAUCAUCAGUUCUGACCUCAUUAAAAGGCCCGCUUCAUCCAAUCCAAUGAUGUGAUAUUUUCUCACACAUUUCAAGAAUAUGGUGUUAUUACAGACAUUAAACUCUCUGAAAAUACCCAUUGUCAUUAUAUUUCUGUAUUAGAAUACAUGGAAAAAUGGCGAAGUGACACUAAAACGCCUUUGUCUACCAAACUUAACAUGUAUUACUUCUGCUUAGUACAUAAUUACACAGUAGCCUACUACUAUAGUACAAAGUUAAAGAGAAAAAUCGUAAGAUUUUACAUUGGAGGAUCAAGUCCCUAAACUUUUUGAUUUGAGGAUAUUGGAUUGAUUCAGAAUGCAGAAAAAUAUGCUGCAUUCCAAUCCCAUGGGAAAUAUCAGCUUUUACAAGUCAUUCGGCAAACUUAACCCCAAAUACCUAAAUCAAGUCAUAUGUGUCCUGUAAUGUGAUUUUGCAAGCAGUGGUGAUUUGUAAAAUGGCAUGUAAUGAAAAGUAUUGAUUUUAUUUUAUUUUUUCCCCAAUAGGGAAUGUAACACACCCACUACACAAAUAAUUUCUAUGGCCGAUUUAACAAUGUUAACAUUAAAACCAGUGCUCAGCUUAUAUAUUAACACAUGAAAAACGAGUUGGAAGUAAUUUCUAGAAAUAUUUUUUCAGCCGAAGUCCCUGAACAACACUGCAUUCUACGCGUAGAUGCUUGUAUAUCCCAGGGGCCGUGAAAGCGCCACAUCUUUCGACGACUUUAUUCAACACGCCCCCACGUGGAGCAGGCAUGUUCUUUCCCCGGGAAAACUGGGUCACCGCCUGCAGUCUGUGGUCACCGCGAGCUGCCUCACGUGUACCCGCGGCCAGACGCCACACCAUCUUGACGGGAGAAAUUAUGCAAUGCGCCACGUCACGACGCCACUCGGCCAAUGAGCGGCGACGCACGGGGGAGCGUAAACACUGGUGCACAUGGCCAGGCUGGUGAGUCCAUGUGAGAAGGGAGGACUGCAGUGCUGAUGAAGCUAUCUACUUAGCGUCGGCUCAACCACCGCGAGGUGAGCUUUAGCAUGAGACUGGGAAGAGGUGAGGAUUUGGAGAGCUAUCCACGCACCAGGACAUCUGACAGUGCUGGACCAACUGCACACGCCCGCCACAACUUUGAAGAUCCUUUGAGUACUUUCAUAGGAAUGAUGGUCCGAUUGAUGUGAGUGAUAUUUUGGACAGGCUGAUAAACAGCAUCGCAUCAUACAAACCAGUGUAAGAAAUUCCUGUGUGUGAACAGCUGUCCCCCAUGAAAGCCUGCUGCCCCUUCACUGAAUACAUGCUGAGGAAACCUGCCUAAUUCAGAAUCAAGUUCUGGAUCCCUGCUGAUGUGGAGACGAAAUACUGUAUCUGGUCCAUGGAUGGAUCUGAGCCGCCCCGCUACUCAGAGUCUCGUGAAGAGUGUGGUUCUGAAGUUGACGGAGCCUUAUUAGGGCAAGGGUAGACAUACAACACUUUCCUACAAACUCCUGGCCAAGAAUACAGGCCCUGUUGGCACCACCAACAAGAACAAGAGGUCACUGCGUCCUUUUGCACACCAGAAAGCUCCACCGCAUGACACGAAAGUGAUGCAGAACGACAAGCCAACCCUCACCAUUUACCAGGGAAAAGAAAAGAAGAAUGUCUGCCUCCUCAGCACCAUGCACUUAUCGGUGGAUCCACAAGAUGAUGCCAAAAACAAAGCCAGGGAUGGUUCACUUCUACAUCCAGACCAUGGUUGGAGUAGAUGUGAAACACAUAACAGAUUCUAAAUAAAACGUUUAAACAAACUCUGAUAGAUCAUAGAGCAAA
Micropterus salmoides (largemouth bass) is the source of this 2278-nucleotide long non-coding RNA. RefSeq lists it as uncharacterized. NCBI's taxonomy places the organism in Eukaryota, Metazoa, Chordata, Actinopteri, Centrarchiformes, Centrarchidae. The transcript is spliced from 2 exons. The record is from RefSeq and is a predicted model, not a curated record.